AUUGAACGCUGGCGGAAUGCUUUACACAUGCAAGUCGAACCGCAGCACGGACUUCGGUCUGGUGGCGAGUGGCGAACGGGUGAGUAACAUAUCGGAACGUAUCCAAUAAUGGGGGAUAACGAGUCGAAAGAUUCGCUAAUACCGCAUACGCCCUACGGGGAAAAGCUGGGGACCUUCGGGCCUGGCGUUAAUGGAGCGGCCGAUAUCUGGUUAGCUAGUUGGUGAGGUAAAGGCUCACCAAGGCGACGAUCAGUAGCUGGUCUGAGAGGACGACCAGCCACACUGGAACUGAGACACGGUCCAGACUCCUACGGGAGGCAGCAGUGGGGAAUUUUGGACAAUGGGCGCAAGCCUGAUCCAGCCAUUCCGCGUGAGUGAAGAAGGCCUUCGGGUUGUAAAGCUCUUUCGCAAGGGAAGAAAACUUAGCCACUAACAUUGGUUGAGGUUGACGGUACCUUGAUAAGAAGCACCGGCUGACUACGUGCCAGCAGCCGCCGUAA
Molecule: ribosomal RNA, 500 nt
Filed under: uncultured bacterium
Lineage: Bacteria
Description: partial 16S ribosomal RNA
Rfam family: Bacterial small subunit ribosomal RNA
Source: RNAcentral